This 633-nucleotide ribosomal RNA is filed under the name uncultured marine eukaryote. RNAcentral describes it as "SSU rRNA". It matches the Rfam family "Eukaryotic small subunit ribosomal RNA", at positions 617 to 1259 of the family's 1831-position model. The record is from RNAcentral.
GGUUAAAAAGCUCGUAGUUGGAUUUCUGUCUGGGAUGGUCGGUCCGCACUUUGUGCGUGCAUCUGAUGCGUCCUCGGCAUCCUUCUGAAGGACAUUGUACUUUAUUGUAUGAUGGAUUUCAGAACUUUUACUUUGAGGAAAUUAGAGUGUUCACAGCAAGCAAGCGCUUUGAAUACAUUAGCAUGGAAUAAUAAUAUAGGACCUUCAGUACUAUUUUGUUGGUUUCUAGAGCUGAGGUAAUGAUUAAUAGGGACAGUUGGGGGCAUUCGUAUUAACGCGUCAGAGGUGGAAUUCUUGGAUUGCGUUACGACGAACUACUGCGAAAGCAUUUGCCAAGGAUGUUUUCAUUGAUCAAGAACGAAAGUAUGGGGAUCGAAGACGAUUAGAUACCGUCGUAGUCUAUACCAUAAACUAUGCCGACUAGAGAUUGGAGGUCGUUUUUUUAUGACUCCUUCAGCACCUUAUGAGAAAUCAAAGUCUUUGGGUUCCGGGGGGAGCAUGGUCGCAAGGCUGAAACUUAAAGGAAUUGACGGAAGGGCACCACCAGGAGUGGAGCCUGCGGCUUAAUUUGACUCAACACGGGAAAACUUACCAGGUCCAGACAUAGUAAGGAUUGACAGAUUGAUAGCUCUU